GGGGAAUAUUGGGCAAUGGGGGAAACCCUGACCCAGCAACGCCGCGUGAGGGAAGAAGGUUUUCGGAUUGUAAACCUCUGUUCUUGGUGAAGAGAAGAAGACGGUAGCCAAGGAGGAAGCCCCGGCUAACUACGUGCCAGCAGCCGCGGUAAUACGUAGGGGGCGAGCGUUGUCCGGAAUGAUUGGGCGUAAAGGGCGCGUAGGCGGCCAUGCAAGUCAGUAGUGGAAGUCCAUUUUUCAAGGGUGGAAGUGCUAUUGAAACUGCGGGGCUUAAGUAUGGGAGAGGUCAUCGGAAUUCCCGGUGUAGCGGUGAAAUGCGUAGAGAUCGGGAGGAACACCAGUGGCGAAGGCGGGUGACUGGACCAUAACUGACGCUGAGGCGCGAAAGUGUGGGGAGCAAAC
This 402-nucleotide ribosomal RNA is filed under the name uncultured bacterium. RNAcentral describes it as "bacterial SSU rRNA". It matches the Rfam family "Bacterial small subunit ribosomal RNA", at positions 356 to 773 of the family's 1533-position model. The record is from RNAcentral.